RNAcentral lists this long non-coding RNA (241 nucleotides) under Phoenix dactylifera (date palm). RNAcentral's name for it is "long non-coding RNA (PDAC_LNC006586)". The record is from RNAcentral. Lineage: Eukaryota; Viridiplantae; Streptophyta; Magnoliopsida; Arecales; Arecaceae.
AAAAUGGCUAUCCAAGUUUCAAUACAUACCUUUAAUUAUAUCGAUACACAGUUUCGACAACUUGGUGUUCACCAGUACACACCACAUGGCUAAGUGAUACACACUCAUCGACUUCUUAAUACACACUUUAAGCUUUACUAAUGCAUACUAAGCAUCGAUCUAAUACAUACCUUUAGGUAUAUCGAUACAUACUUUUCAGAUCAUGGUGUUCAGCAGUACACACUGCAUGGCCAAAUGAUAC